This 236-nucleotide long non-coding RNA is filed under the name Rosa chinensis. Its description in RNAcentral is "sRNA RchiOBHm_Chr5g0083981". The stretch from base 154 to 236 matches the Rfam family "Small nucleolar RNA SNORD24". The record is from RNAcentral. Lineage: Eukaryota; Viridiplantae; Streptophyta; Magnoliopsida; Rosales; Rosaceae.
UGUGGUAUGAUGAAAAGAAUCAUUCGGAUUCCCAAUGAUAGCAUAUAUAUGAUAUCUCAACCAGCUACUUCUGAUCACAUGGUUCCUUCCUUCACUCCCUACUUUAUUUUUUUUUAUUUUUUCUGAGUUUCAAUGUUUUCGGUUUCGAAUUUAGGCCGAUGAUGGAUAACAAUAUUUGCUACUCUUGAUGGGGAAAUCCCAUCUGAUGAUAUUUUACCACCAAGAUCUCUGAGGCC